Molecule: long non-coding RNA, 1000 nt
Organism: Erigeron canadensis
Lineage: Eukaryota; Viridiplantae; Streptophyta; Magnoliopsida; Asterales; Asteraceae
Exons: 2
Source: RefSeq, a predicted model, not a curated record
AAUUUCUUGAGUUUAAGAUAUCGUAAAGUUUCUGUCUCUGAAUUAAAACUUAGAAUAAUGAAUUAUGUACUGUCAAGGAUGGAGAACUAACGUGGCAUUGAUCACAGGUUUAUACAUCCACCAAACAUAGCUCUCGUAGACUAAAAUAUCGACUCCUUCCCAUUGUUUGCUGUGAUUAGAUAUUGAAUCGAGCCUGACUAGGCGUUUCAUUACUGUGUGUUUUGUUGCAUGAUCUGAAAUAGACUCGACUAGGAAAGGAGCCCAGUAGAACUCGAUGGACGCAUUGUAUUCCUAUCAUACAGAAACAACAAAAUACUUUUACUUAUCUGAAGAGGCAAUGGCAGAAAAAUAGAACACAGUGCUGGUACCAGGUUCAGGAUCUCCAAUGAGGGUUGCCAUUUCCAGUUCUGAUAUGAUGAAUCAGGCCUCCCAUUUUUUUGGCAAGUCACUUGUUUAACCAAAAGAGGGCAACUUUCUUCUGUGUAGAGUGGGUGUGACUCAUUGUCCCAAACCCACUUCCCUUCAAAUAUAUUGCAACCUUUUUCGAUAGUUUCAUCGUUAGAAACACGAAUGGGCUGUCUUACCACAUGAUAUCCGCCACUUUGUGGCUUAAGAAAGUCACGGGUGUGGUAGCUGUUUUUCAAGCUAUCAAAAACAAUGCGAAGAGACCCAAUGAAAAGAAGUGAAGCGAGUGCAGCAGGGAUAAGGUAUCGAUUCCGCUGAUUGGCUGAGGGUAAAGUUGUCAUGUUUGGGGUGGUUUAUGGUAGUUAAAUGGCAUGUAGCGUUUAUAUCUCUGUCUAUUAUAAGUGAGAUUUUUUUCGCCUUGAGAUUCAAGCAAUUGAUAACUACUAACUUCAUGUAACAACCGGUUGGUACUUAGUUAGGCUUCAAGUAUGGUGUUUGUAUGUCUUAAUGAGGUUUGUUCAAGAAAGCAUCUUUGUUUUUAUAUUCAUACAUCAUUUUCAAAAAAUGAAUGAAACCACCAUAGGUGUUACAUCUC